This 375-nucleotide ribosomal RNA is filed under the name uncultured bacterium. Its description in RNAcentral is "bacterial SSU rRNA". It matches the Rfam family "Bacterial small subunit ribosomal RNA", at positions 28 to 403 of the family's 1533-position model. The record is from RNAcentral.
GACGAACGCUGGCGGCGUGCUUAACACAUGCAAGUCGAGCGGUAAGGCCCUUUCGGGGGUACACGAGCGGCGAACGGGUGAGUAACACGUGGGUGACCUGCCCUCAGCUCUGGGAUAAGCCUGGGAAACUGGGUCUAAUACUGGAUAUGACUCCACGGUGCAUGUCGUGGGGUGGAAAGCCUUGUGCGGCUGAGGAUGGGCCCGCGGCCUAUCAGCUUGUUGGUGGGGUGANGGCCUACCAAGGCGACGACGGGUAGCCGGCCUGAGAGGGCGACCGGCCACACUGGGACUGAGACACGGCCCAGACUCCUACGGGAGGCAGCAGUGGGGAAUCUUGCGCAAUGGGCGAAAGCCCUGACGCAGCGACGCCGCGUG